RNAcentral lists this ribosomal RNA (465 nucleotides) under Vreelandella stevensii. RNAcentral's name for it is "partial 16S ribosomal RNA". It matches the Rfam family "Bacterial small subunit ribosomal RNA", at positions 338 to 795 of the family's 1533-position model. Lineage: Bacteria; Pseudomonadati; Pseudomonadota; Gammaproteobacteria; Oceanospirillales; Halomonadaceae. The record is from RNAcentral.
CCUACGGGAGGCUGCAGUGGGGAAUAUUGGACAAUGGGGGGAACCCUGAUCCAGCCAUGCCGCGUGUGUGAAGAAGGCCCUCGGGUUGUAAAGCACUUUCAGUGAGGAAGAACGCCUGGUGGUUCAUACCCAUCAGGAAAGACAUCACUCACAGAAGAAGCACCGGCUAACUCCGUGCCAGCAGCCGCGGUAAUACGGAGGGUGCGAGCGUUAAUCGGAAUUACUGGGCGUAAAGCGCGCGUAGGUGGCUUGAUAAGCCGGUUGUGAAAGCCCCGGGCUCAACCUGGGAACGGCAUCCGGAACUGUCAAGCUAGAGUGCAGGAGAGGAAGGUAGAAUUCCCGGUGUAGCGGUGAAAUGCGUAGAGAUCGGGAGGAAUACCAGUGGCGAAGGCGGCCUUCUGGACUGACACUGACACUGAGGUGCGAAAGCGUGGGUAGCAAACAGGAUUAGAUACCCUAGUAGUC